GUGUGUAUUGAAAUGUAAGCAGCCUACCAGACCUCGGAGAUCAGAUGGUCACGGGAUGCAUGACUUCCUGGGAGUCCAUGAAAUCCCUACCACAGGGGUCUCACUCAGGGGAGCGGACACUGGGUUUCUGAACCUCGUCGCUGAAGACGGCCAGGACUUAAGAAGCACAGACUUCCCUGUGCUCGGGUACCCACGGAGGCGGGGGUGCGUGAAGACGCCAGGCUAAAGCAGUGCUGCUUCUUGGAAAAACUGGAAAAAGCUCUCUGGACGACGGGGG
This 277-nucleotide long non-coding RNA is filed under the name Bos grunniens (domestic yak). RNAcentral describes it as "lncRNA (ENSBGRG00000001223.1)". The record is from RNAcentral. Lineage: Eukaryota; Metazoa; Chordata; Mammalia; Artiodactyla; Bovidae.